GGUCCUACGGGGGGCAGCAGUGGGGAAUUUUGGACAAUGGGCGCAAGCCUGAUCCAGCUAUUCCGCGUGUGGGAUGAAGGCCCUCGGGUUGUAAACCACUUUUGUAGAGAACGAAAAGACACCUUCGAAUAAAGGGUGUUGCUGACGGUACUCUAAGAAUAAGCACCGGCUAACUACGUGCCAGCAGCCGCGGUAAUACGUAGGGUGCGAGCGUUGAUCGGAAUUACUGGGCGUAAAGGGUGCGCAGGCGGUUGAGUAAGACAGAUGUGAAAUACCCGCGCCUCACUCGGGACAGGCAUAUGUGG
Molecule: ribosomal RNA, 305 nt
Filed under: uncultured bacterium
Lineage: Bacteria
Description: bacterial SSU rRNA
Rfam family: Bacterial small subunit ribosomal RNA
Source: RNAcentral